AUACGUAGGGGGCGAGCGUUGUCCGGAAUGAUUGGGCGUAAAGGGCGCGUAGGCGGCGCGGUAAGUCUGGAGUGAAAGUCCUGCUUUCAAGGUGGGAAUUGCUUUGGAUACUGCCGCGCUUGAGUGCAGGAGAGGUUAUCGGAAUUCCCGGUGUAGCGGUGAAAUGCGUAGAGAUCGGGAGGAACACCAGUGGCGAAGGCGGGUAACUGGACUGCAACUGACGCUGAGGCGCGAAAGUGUGGGGAGCAAACAGGAUUAGAUACCCUGGUAGUCCACACUGUAAACGAUGAAUGCUAGGUGUAAGAGGUAUCGACCUCUUUUGUGCCGGAGUCAACACAAUAAGCAUUCCGCCUGGGGAGUACGGCCGCAAGGUUGAAACUCAAAGGAAUUGACGGGG
RNAcentral lists this ribosomal RNA (397 nucleotides) under uncultured bacterium. Its description in RNAcentral is "partial 16S ribosomal RNA". It matches the Rfam family "Bacterial small subunit ribosomal RNA", at positions 523 to 918 of the family's 1533-position model. The record is from RNAcentral.